RNAcentral lists this ribosomal RNA (1120 nucleotides) under Escherichia coli. RNAcentral's name for it is "partial 23S ribosomal RNA". It matches the Rfam family "Bacterial large subunit ribosomal RNA", at positions 165 to 1323 of the family's 2925-position model. The record is from RNAcentral. Lineage: Bacteria; Pseudomonadati; Pseudomonadota; Gammaproteobacteria; Enterobacterales; Enterobacteriaceae.
CAUAGGUUAAUGAGGCGAACCGGGGGAACUGAAACAUCUAAGUACCCCGAGGAAAAGAAAUCAACCGAGAUUCCCCCAGUAGCGGCGAGCGAACGGGGAGCAGCCCAGAGCCUGAAUCAGUGUGUGUGUUAGUGGAAGCGUCUGGAAAGGCGCGCGAUACAGGGUGACAGCCCCGUACACAAAAAUGCACAUACUGUGAGCUCGAUGAGUAGGGCGGGACACGUGGUAUCCUGUCUGAAUAUGGGGGGACCAUCCUCCAAGGCUAAAUACUCCUGACUGACCGAUAGUGAACCAGUACCGUGAGGGAAAGGCGAAAAGAACCCCGGCGAGGGGAGUGAAAAAGAACCUGAAACCGUGUACGUACAAGCAGUGGGAGCACGCUUAGGCGUGUGACUGCGUACCUUUUGUAUAAUGGGUCAGCGACUUAUAUUCUGUAGCAAGGUUAACCGAAUAGGGGAGCCGAAGGGAAACCGAGUCUUAACUGGGCGUUAAGUUGCAGGGUAUAGACCCGAAACCCGGUGAUCUAGCCAUGGGCAGGUUGAAGGUUGGGUAACACUAACUGGAGGACCGAACCGACUAAUGUUGAAAAAUUAGCGGAUGACUUGUGGCUGGGGGUGAAAGGCCAAUCAAACCGGGAGAUAGCUGGUUCUCCCCGAAAGCUAUUUAGGUAGCGCCUCGUGAAUUCAUCUCCGGGGGUAGAGCACUGUUUCGGCAAGGGGGUCAUCCCGACUUACCAACCCGAUGCAAACUGCGAAUACCGGAGAAUGUUAUCACGGGAGACACACGGCGGGUGCUAACGUCCGUCGUGAAGAGGGAAACAACCCAGACCGCCAGCUAAGGUCCCAAAGUCAUGGUUAAGUGGGAAACGAUGUGGGAAGGCCCAGACAGCCAGGAUGUUGGCUUAGAAGCAGCCAUCAUUUAAAGAAAGCGUAAUAGCUCACUGGUCGAGUCGGCCUGCGCGGAAGAUGUAACGGGGCUAAACCAUGCACCGAAGCUGCGGCAGCGACGCUGAUGCGUUGUUGGGUAGGGGAGCGUUCUGUAAGCCUGUGAAGGUGUGCUGUGAGGCAUGCUGGAGGUAUCAGAAGUGCGAAUGCUGACAUAAGUAACGAUAAAGCGGGUG